This 75-nucleotide transfer RNA is filed under the name Bacillota bacterium. RNAcentral's name for it is "tRNA-Glu". It matches the Rfam family "tRNA". Rfam says of the family: Transfer RNA (tRNA) molecules are approximately 80 nucleotides in length. Their secondary structure includes four short double-helical elements and three loops (D, anti-codon, and T loops). Lineage: Bacteria; Bacillati; Bacillota. RNAcentral also lists the same sequence under 1 other name. The record is from RNAcentral.
GGCCCCAUAGUGAAGCGGUUAACACACAAGCCUUUCACGCUUGCGACACGGGUUCGAAUCCCGUUGGGGUCACCA